GGCGCAAUUCUGAAGUAGAGUGGUUUAGUAGGGUCAGAUGAUCCCCUAAUCUACUCCACUUCAAAUUUGGGUCC
Molecule: microRNA precursor, 74 nt
Filed under: Haemonchus placei
Lineage: Eukaryota; Metazoa; Nematoda; Chromadorea; Rhabditida; Trichostrongylidae
Description: mir-5928 microRNA precursor family
Rfam family: mir-5928 microRNA precursor family
Source: Rfam by way of RNAcentral